GGAGAAAUCAUUGGUGGCGUUUCAGCUGCAUGUCUUGGAAGUACAUCUUGGCUUCUAACUUGCUCUGGAGAGAUGGAAGAGGCACUGAAGAUAUUUGAUUGAGCAGUCGCUGAUCUCUCGCGCAUCCUAGACUGGUGAUGUUUCUUAUCCAGUGACAAAGAUGACUUAUUUGAAGUUUCCUUCGGGCGAUCUUCUUGAAGAACAAUCCUUUUCACAGUUGUUUUGGGAGUUUCAAAGCUUGCCCAAUUCCGAUCAAGUGAGUCACGGCGUCUCCUAGCUGUCUCUGGCUCAAGGCUCUUCACAGGACUUGGCUUCUUUCUCCUGGAUCGUUCUUUAACAGCAAGAAAGACUGAUAGUUCCUUGUUAAAAGGUGUAUUUUCAGCCUUUUCCCUAGCUGGAGACUUGUGAGAAGCACCAUCAUAGGGUAAACCAAUUGUUUCAAACAAUUCCUUCCUAAUAUUCUGACCUUUUGCAGGAGAAUCUAUGCUCAAAUCAGUCAUUAGUUUCGAGA
Molecule: unclassified non-coding RNA, 511 nt
Filed under: Hevea brasiliensis (rubber tree)
Lineage: Eukaryota; Viridiplantae; Streptophyta; Magnoliopsida; Malpighiales; Euphorbiaceae
Source: RNAcentral